Molecule: long non-coding RNA, 223 nt
Filed under: Solanum tuberosum (potato)
Lineage: Eukaryota; Viridiplantae; Streptophyta; Magnoliopsida; Solanales; Solanaceae
Description: long non-coding RNA (STUB_LNC000848)
Source: RNAcentral
UUAAUGCAUGCUUAUUUUUUAGGAUGAUUUGAGGAAAACAUCCAAUUAUAGGCCAUGAUUUUGGACCUGGAGGAAAUGGUUUAUUGUUUCUUACACUAGUAUACUAUUCCAUUUCUUAUUAAGAAUAAUAGAAAUGAAUAUUGUCAAUAGAAUAGAAAUUAUAAUGAAGAAUGUAGUGUUACUGGAGAUAAUCAUAAGAAGAAGGUUUGACAUUUUCAUCAUU